AUAGAAGAGGCGCAAUCAACAUGAGUCGCUUUCCUGAGGUGGGUCACACCGAUGACGGAAAGUAAAAGGGGCGAUUGCCGAAAUUCUCGCGUGACAACCUAGCGCGGGGGUUGGGUCCUGGUUUAACAGAUCAGGGACUGUCGCAGCCAAAUAUCGGCUGCGGGGCGCUUUC
RNAcentral lists this non-coding RNA (172 nucleotides) under uncultured Levilactobacillus sp. RNAcentral's name for it is "Lysine riboswitch". It matches the Rfam family "Lysine riboswitch aptamer". Rfam says of the family: Riboswitches are metabolite binding domains within certain messenger RNAs that serve as precision sensors for their corresponding targets. The record is from RNAcentral. Lineage: Bacteria; Bacillati; Bacillota; Bacilli; Lactobacillales; Lactobacillaceae.